This 470-nucleotide ribosomal RNA is filed under the name uncultured Alphaproteobacteria bacterium. Its description in RNAcentral is "bacterial SSU rRNA". It matches the Rfam family "Bacterial small subunit ribosomal RNA", at positions 9 to 524 of the family's 1533-position model. Lineage: Bacteria; Pseudomonadati; Pseudomonadota; Alphaproteobacteria. The record is from RNAcentral.
GAGUUUGAUCCUGGCUCAGGACGAACGCUGGCGGCGUGCUUAACACAUGCAAGUCGAACGCGUGUAGCAAUACACGAGUGGCGCACGGGUGAGUAACACGUGGAUAUCUGCCUUUUGGUUCGGGAUAACCCCGGGAAACUGGGGCUAAUACCGGAUGGUUCCUUCGGGAUAAAGAUUUAUCGCCAAAAGAUGAGUCCGCGUCCGAUUAGCUAGUUGGCGGGGUAAUGGCCCACCAAGGCGACGAUCGGUAGCUGGUCUGAGAGGAUGACCAGCCUCACUGGGACUGAGACACGGCCCAGACUCCUACGGGAGGCAGCAGUGGGGAAUAUUGGACAAUGGGCGCAAGCCUGAUCCAGCCAUGCCGCGUGGGUGAUGAAGGCCCUAGGGUUGUAAAGCCCUUUCAGCGGGAAGAUAAUGACGGUACCCGCAGAAGAAGCCCCGGCUAACUUCGUGCCAGCCGCCGCCGUAAG